CGGAAGUUCAAGUCUUCCCAGGCCCACCACUUGAUCGAGUGCAUGUGUCUCUCUUGAGCUUGGCCUGUAGCAUUCGUCUUCUGGUUACGGGGCCAUAGCUCAGCUGGGAGAGCGCGUGCUUUGCAAGCAUGAGGUCGUCGGUUCGAUCCCGUCUGGCUCCACCACGCUUCGCCUGAAGGCUUCGCGUGGCGCAGCCACGCAGGAAAAACCGAAGCGUGCCCGGCGAAGCCCGUAAGAGCAAAGACGGGCUGCCGAUUGACCCGUAACCAUUCCGUCCGCGAAACAUCAAUUCGCACUCGCUGUCCGCAAUCGGAUGCGAUGUGCGUGUUUUCUGACAUCGUAAAGAGGAGAUCGAUCCGAGUUGGGUCGCAUGGAAAUUCUAUGCGCAUCCUUCACUAUCUCCAGAUCAUUUCGGCGCUUGCGCCUCCCGCAGACUAGCGUCUGUCGGAUACGCGAGUUGUAAAUGAUCUUGUUAGCGAAGCCUGACCGCCUCGCUAUCGGUUCGAUCUUACGAAGCAAGCUGGUCUUUCUAAUCAGUGUCCGCUGCACGAACUCUCCUGGUGAAGGUUCGUGCGGUAUGCAUUCUGCCGAGUGUGUGGACAUUGAUAAUGAGAGCAAUCAAGUGCCUUAAGGGUGUUCGGUGGAUGCCUUGGCGCUGAGAGGCGAUGAAGGACGUGCUACGCUGCGAUAAGCCGUGGGGAGCUGCGAAGAAGCUUUGAUCCACGGAUUUCCGA
This 734-nucleotide unclassified non-coding RNA is filed under the name Bradyrhizobium sp. RNAcentral's name for it is "partial contains 16S-23S ribosomal RNA intergenic spacer and 23S ribosomal RNA". The stretch from base 617 to 734 matches the Rfam family "Bacterial large subunit ribosomal RNA", at positions 1 to 117 of the family's 2925-position model. The record is from RNAcentral. Lineage: Bacteria; Pseudomonadati; Pseudomonadota; Alphaproteobacteria; Hyphomicrobiales; Nitrobacteraceae.